AAUAAAUAUAUUUAAAUAAAUGAGAGAUUAAAUGAUAAAUCAUUAAAUUUAAAAAAUUUGGCGGUACUUAUAAUUUAGAGGAACCUGUAUAGUAAUUGAUAAUCCACGAUAAGAUGAACUUAAUAAAUAAAGUUUAUGUAUUGCUGUUUUUAGUAUUUAAUUAAGUUAGAUUUGUAUGAUUUAUAAUAAUAAAAAAAUUCAAGUCAAAAUAUAGCUUUUUUAAGAUUUAAUAUGGGUUACAAUUAAUUUUAUUAUUAGAUUAUAAAAUUUAAUUUUUGUAUGAAAAUGGAUUUAAAAGUAAAUUAAUAAAUU
RNAcentral lists this ribosomal RNA (312 nucleotides) under Vespula koreensis. RNAcentral's name for it is "partial small subunit ribosomal RNA". Lineage: Eukaryota; Metazoa; Arthropoda; Insecta; Hymenoptera; Vespidae. The record is from RNAcentral.